Molecule: ribosomal RNA, 1794 nt
Filed under: Triticum aestivum (bread wheat)
Lineage: Eukaryota; Viridiplantae; Streptophyta; Magnoliopsida; Poales; Poaceae
Description: partial small subunit ribosomal RNA
Source: RNAcentral
AUGUGUAUACCUGUCAUAGCUGACACAUAUGAAGACUUGUUGAGAUCCAAUAUUGGUCCUCUGAUCGUUCAUACACCUACUCAAGUUGCUUUUGUGCCACAUAAGGUAACAUCACCUUUCCCAGGAAAGCUGGUGAGGCAGGCAAAUGCAGUCAUGCCUGAAGAGAUUGCAUCAAGUGUCUAUUCUGAUGGUAGGCAUGCUACAAAGAAUGAGCACUUGAGGAUUUCUGGACCUUUGGGGCAAUGUGACGAAUCUGAUUGUGUAGAUUGCCCUUUUGCCUCUAAGAACAAAAUGCAUUUCCAGAGAAGUUUAGCUCCUUUCGGUAAUGAGGGUGAUGGGUGGAAGAAGAUUGGGUCUUCCCUUCCAUACAUUCCAAUUCUAAACCCACAUGCUAAGGCUGUUCGUCGAUGGAACCAGUUUUUUGUAAUAUCAUGCUUGGUUGCCAUUUUCAUUGACCCUCUGUUUUUCUUCCUACCUUUCAUGGACAAGGAUAACAAAUGCAUAGUGUUCAGUCGGUAUUCGAAAGCAUUAAUUGUUGCAAGAACUGUGACUGAUGUCAUUUAUGCUCUUCACAUGCUUCUUCAGUUUAGGAUGGCCUAUGUGGAUCCAGAGUCAAGAAUAGCGGGAGCAGGAGAUUUAGUUGACGAGCCUAAGAAAAUCGCUAUGCGCUAUCUUCGUGGUGCUUUCAUAGCCGACCUAUCUGUUAUGCUUCCAGUUCCUCAGGUGAUGAUAGGACGGGUUAUCCCUAAGUACAUUGGGGUAUCCGGUGCAAACUAUGCGAAGAAUUUGUUGCAUGCCACAAUUCUUGUUCAGUAUGCCCCACGUGUCUUCAGAUUUGUGCAACUACUUGGUGGGCAAUCUGCUAAUGGAUUUAUUUUGGCUGGACAUGUAGUUGGUUCGCUUUGGUACCUCUUUGGAUUACAGAGUGUUAAUUAUUGUCUACAGAAUUCUUGUUCUGCACUUAAUAUAACAUCAUGUGCUCAGUUUAUAGACUGUGGGUAUGGCAUUGGUGGGCUGGACAGAGUAAAGAGGCAGCGGUGGUUCAACGAUUCGAUGUCGCGAAGCUGUUUUGAUACUGCAAAUGGUUUUUUCAAAUAUGGAAUCUAUGAACAAUCUGUGUUGCUAACCACAGAACCUGCUAUUAACCGCUACACAUAUUCGUUAUUUUGGGGGUUUCAGCAAAUAAGUACUUUGGCGGGUAAUCUGGUGCCAACCUAUAAUGUAUGGGAAGUUCUAUUCACAAAGGGUAUCAUUGCCUUGGGGCUGUUCCUUUUUGCGUUACUUGUCGGUAACAUGCAGAUUUUCCUUCAAUCACUUGGAAAAAGGAGAUUGGAAAUGCAACUGAGGAGACAUGAUAUUGAACAAUGCAUGAGCCACAGGCAACUCCCAGAAGAUCUGAGAAGGAGGGUUAGACAUGCAGAAAGGUUUAGUUGGGUGGCUAUGAGAGGAGUGAAUGAAGAAGAGCUUUUGGGCAGCUUACCAGAAGAUAUCCAGAGAGAUAUACGCCACCAUUUUCACAGAUUUCUUAAUAAGAUUCGAUUAUUCGCUUUGAAGGAUUGUGGACUUUGCGACGCUGUCUGUGACAAGUUGAAGCAUAAGUUAUAUGUUAGGGGAAGUGACAUUCUUUCUCAGGAUCAGCUUGUUGAAAAAAUCAUCUUUGUAGUGCGGGGUAAACUAGAAGCAUCAGAGCAGAUGGAAGCAAGUCUCCAUUACAUGAAGGAGCUGUGUGUGGGGAAGAGCUGCUUAUGUGGUGGUUGGAGCAGCAAGCUUCAGGUUUGCAGAUAUUUACCUUAG